Molecule: ribosomal RNA, 253 nt
Filed under: uncultured bacterium
Lineage: Bacteria
Description: partial 16S ribosomal RNA
Rfam family: Bacterial small subunit ribosomal RNA
Source: RNAcentral
UACGAAGGGGGCUAGCGUUGCUCGGAAUCACUGGGCGUAAAGGGUGCGUAGGCGGGGCUUUAAGGCAGGGGGGAAAUCCUGGAGCUCAACUCCAGAACUGCCUUUGAUACUGAAGAUCUUGAGUUCGGGAGAGGUGAGUGGAACUGCGAGUGUAGAGGUGAAAUUCGUAGAUAUUCGCAAGAACACCAGUGGCGAAAGCGACGCCCUGGCAUUAGCCUGACGCUCAUGUGCGAAGGCGUGGGGAGCGAACGGG